This is a non-coding RNA of Pelobates cultripes (western spadefoot toad), 756 nucleotides long. NCBI's taxonomy places the organism in Eukaryota, Metazoa, Chordata, Amphibia, Anura, Pelobatidae. The record is from the annotation of a GenBank genome assembly.
CACAAGAUUUACAGUAACUGUUGGUCAGAGAGGCAAUUCCUGGUACUUCAGAGUAUUUAUUGAUCAAAAGAGUUCAUGAGGGUUCUGGACAGAUGCUCCGUAGGCCCACUGGACCACUGCUGAGUAUAUGUUCUUGGGCAAGCAGAACUUGAGAUUGUUGAAGUACAGCCUGUCUUUAAGAGUUGCCCCUUUCUGUUUCCAGCUUGUGGUUUGUUUGUUUUUUUUCUUUCUUUCCAGGGUCAGUAGCUUGCUUGUUAUUCCUUCGGGAGCUUGAUGUCUGUGGGUAGGAUCUUACAUGGUGAAUAUGGGAGUUUCUUCAGCAGACACUUUUCUGUCCACUUCCCUUAGUGCACUUACAACUUUUUGAACAACUUAGUCAGCCAGAGAGCUGCCACAUGCUUCCUCUGAGUUCAGUCUUCCUUCAGAGAUCUUGCAUGGUGUGAUGGGAGUCUAUAGCUCAGCUUCUUGUGCAGACAUUGUUGAGGUGAGAUACUUGGUCCACUGUAGUGACAGCAAAUCCGGAACAGAACAUAAGAAAAAGGCUAAAAAAAAGAUAAUAGUCAGUGUCUUAUCAUUUCCCCCCUUGGGAAGUGGCAGAAGAGUGGCCAGGUAAAUAGAGUAUCAUCCCUGCAGGGUGACAUUAUCCUGCACAGAAUUCGUCCAUCACAAGGAGAGGUGGGAUAUUGCAUGGAAAGUCUCAGGUAACCAGGGCAACAUUCGACACCAGAGCCUUAACCUGUUAGGGAAUAGUAAGAG